RNAcentral lists this microRNA (22 nucleotides) under Capitella teleta. RNAcentral describes it as "cte-miR-2691-5p". Lineage: Eukaryota; Metazoa; Annelida; Polychaeta; Capitellidae. The record is from miRBase by way of RNAcentral.
GACGGUGAGACUUCUGCAAAGC